UUUGGAUUUUGGACUCUGCCUUUUGCCUUCUUCCAUGAACCUCUCCUGUCUGCUUUGGAUUACUUGAUGCCUGGUUUUGUCUCCUGCUCUUCCAACCUGGUUUGUCUCCUUCAGCUCAAAACUGACAACAGGAGUGGAGAGGCUUUGACGCUGCAGUCAUGGCUGAGUGAAGUGCAGCUCCUCCUGAAAUGCAGAUUGGGAGCCAGGAGGCAGGAGAGACACCAGAAACAGCACAUUCAACAUAUUUUCACAAGCCAUACACACAGAAUCACUUAUGGAUGACCCCUUUUGGAUCCACUCACCAGACAGAUUUUACAGCCUCGUUCUGUGCAGUCUCUGAAUGCUUACAUGGUAACAGAAGAAGAACUGACGUCUUUGUCUGAACCUAUUCUCACUUCUUUCAGAAAAGUGAGUUCUUCAGCAGCAAGCACCCCAAGUGUAUUAAAGACAUUUCAUCUUGUGGCUGUCAUGGAACAGAUCCCACUCAUUUCCUCAUCUCUUUCUAAUUAUGCAAUGCUAUGUAUUUUAAAUUGCUCCAUAAAAUAGGUUUCAUAUAAAAACGUAAGGGUGCAGAACCCAAUUAGCACUGGAGCAAUGAGGAAGGCAUGCGGUUCCUGCUCAAUAGAGUCAGUUAUAACUGGACGUGGGGGUGUGUGUGUGGGUGUGUAAAAGUGAAAUGAGCCACAUGGGAGUCAUAUCCACCUGAACUGACAGAAUCACACAGCAAGUGCUGGGACAUAUUUUCAUGGUGCAUUAGGAGCUGGUAUUAAAUUGCAAGCAGAUUCAGAAAAUUGAUUUUGAUUUAAACUGACCUGAAAAUGUGGCAUUUAGUAGAGAUGGGCAUAAAAGAGCUUUAAAACCAGAAUUUUCUUUUGCUUUUGAAAAUGUUAAGCUGUAAUUUAAUAUAUUGCUUUUAUACCGAACAACACUGUCCUUCAAUUUAACAUUGAAUGUACAAUUAA
This is a long non-coding RNA of Monopterus albus (swamp eel), 962 nucleotides long. RefSeq lists it as uncharacterized. NCBI's taxonomy places the organism in Eukaryota, Metazoa, Chordata, Actinopteri, Synbranchiformes, Synbranchidae. The transcript has 3 exons. The record is from RefSeq and is a predicted model, not a curated record.